AGACCCGAAACCCGGUGAUCUAGCCAUGGGCAGGUUGAAGGUUGGGUAACACUAACUGGAGGACCGAACCGACUAAUGUUGAAAAAUUAGCGGAUGACCUGUGGCUGGGGGUGAAAGGCCAAUCAAACCGGGAGAUAGCUGGUUCUCCCCGAAAGCUAUUUAGGUAGCGCCUCGUGAAUUCAUCUCCGGGGGUAGAGCACUGUUUCGGCUAGGGGGCCAUCCCGGCUUACCAACCCGAUGCAAACUGCGAAUACCGGAGAAUGUUAUCACGGGAGACACACGGCGGGUGCUAACGUCCGUCGUGAAGAGGGAAACAACCCAGACCGCCAGCUAAGGUCCCAAAGUCAUGGUUAAGUGGGAAACGAUGUGGGAAGGCCCAGACAGCCAGGAUGUUGGCUUAGAAGCAGCCAUCAUUUAAAGAAAGCGUAAUAGCUCACUGGUCGAGUCGGCCUGCGCGGAAGAUGUAACGGGGCUAAACCAUGCACCGAAGCUGCGGCAGCGAACGUAUCACUUAAAGCGAUUCAGCGGGUUACGAUUGACGGAGCGAAGCGACGUCAAAGCGUAUACAAAGUCGAGUCGGUUUAAGGAUACGUUCGUUGGGUAGGGGAGCGUUCUGUAAGCCUGCGAAGGUGGCCUGUGAGGGUUGCUGGAGGUAUCAGAAGUGCGAAUGCUGACAUAAGUAACGAUAAAGCGGGUGAAAAGCCCGCUCGCCGGAAGACCAAGGGUUCCUGUCCAACGUUAAUCGGGGCAGGGUGAGUCGACCCCUAAGGCGAGGCCGAAAGGCGUAGUCGAUGGGAAACGGGUUAAUAUUCCCGUACUUGGUGUUACUGCGAAGGGGGGACGGAGAAGGCUAUGUUGGCCGGGCGACGGUUGUCCCGGUUUAAGCGUGUAGGCUGGUUUUCCAGGCAAAUCCGGAAAAUCAAGGCUGAGGCGUGACGACGAGGCACUACGGUGCUGAAGCAACAAAUGCCCUGCUUCCAGGAAAAGCCUCUAAGCAUCAGGUAACACGAAAUCGUACCCCAAACCGACACAGGUGGUCAGGUAGAGAAUACCAAGGCGCUUGAGAGAACUCGGGUGAAGGAACUAGGCAAAAUGGUGCCGUAACUUCGGGAGAAGG
This 1117-nucleotide ribosomal RNA is filed under the name Salmonella enterica. RNAcentral describes it as "partial 23S ribosomal RNA". It matches the Rfam family "Bacterial large subunit ribosomal RNA", at positions 711 to 1746 of the family's 2925-position model. The record is from RNAcentral. Lineage: Bacteria; Pseudomonadati; Pseudomonadota; Gammaproteobacteria; Enterobacterales; Enterobacteriaceae.